This is a non-coding RNA of Pelobates cultripes (western spadefoot toad), 262 nucleotides long. Lineage: Eukaryota; Metazoa; Chordata; Amphibia; Anura; Pelobatidae. The record is from the annotation of a GenBank genome assembly.
CAUACAAAUGCUCUCAAGCAUAUGAAUGCUGUAAGCAGCUGAACAGGAAAAGCAUACAAUCAGCUUACACUCCUGGCAAUCAGCAUACAAUCCAAUUCCCCCAAUAACGAGACGACACUUCGUUUUUGAGAUCAAGCAGAACUGACUGGACUGGCACAUACAGCCUCUUUUAUUCACAAUCCACAAACAUAGUACUGCCCACAGGGUUUUGAAACACAGCCAAUCAAUCUGUACAAUACACACAGACACUCCCACACAAAAU